CAGAGCAGGAAUACCCUGGAGGAACCAGAUUCCAUUUGAUCUUGGAAGCUAAGGAGGGUCAGGCCUCGUUAGUACUUGGAUAGGAGACCAAAAGGGACCACCAGGUGCUGCAUGUU
Molecule: ribosomal RNA, 116 nt
Filed under: Anolis carolinensis (green anole)
Lineage: Eukaryota; Metazoa; Chordata; Lepidosauria; Squamata; Anolidae
Source: RNAcentral